CAGGACGACGCUGGCGGCGUGCCUAAUACAUGCAAGUCGAACGGUCUUUCUAUGGAAGCUUGCUUCCACUGAGAAGAUAGUGGCGAACGGGUGAGUAACACGUGGGUAACCUGCCCAUAAGAGGGGGAUAACAUCCGGAAACGGGUGCUAAUACCGCAUAGUUUUCUUGAUCGCAUGAUCGGGAAAGGAAAGACGGCCUUUGUGCUGUCGCUUAUGGAUGGACCCGCGGCGUAUUAGUUAGUUGGUGAGGUAACGGCUCACCAAGACGAUGAUACGUAGCCGACCUGAGAGGGUGAUCGGCCACAUUGGGACUGAGACACGGCCCAAACUCCUACGGGAGGCAGCAGUAGGGAAUCUUCCGCAAUGGACGAAAGUCUGACGGAGCAACGCCGCGUGAGUGAAAGAAGGUUUUCGGAUCGUAAAACUCUGUUGUCAGAGAAGAACAAGUUGGAGAGUAACUGCUCCAGCCUUGACGGUAUCUGACCAGAAAGCCACGGCUAACUACGUGCCAGCCGCCGC
RNAcentral lists this ribosomal RNA (519 nucleotides) under uncultured bacterium. Its description in RNAcentral is "bacterial SSU rRNA". It matches the Rfam family "Bacterial small subunit ribosomal RNA", at positions 25 to 518 of the family's 1533-position model. The record is from RNAcentral.